CCUACGGGAGGCUGCAGUGGGGAAUAUUGGACAAUGGGGGGAACCCUGAUCCAGCCAUGCCGCGUGUGUGAAGAAGGCCCUCGGGUUGUAAAGCACUUUCAGUGAGGAAGAACGCCUGGUGGUUAAUACCCAUCAGGAAAGACAUCACUCACAGAAGAAGCACCGGCUAACUCCGUGCCAGCAGCCGCGGUAAUACGGAGGGUGCGAGCGUUAAUCGGAAUUACUGGGCGUAAAGCGCGCGUAGGUGGCUUGAUAAGCCGGUUGUGAAAGCCCCGGGCUCAACCUGGGAACGGCAUCCGGAACUGUCAAGCUAGAGUGCAGGAGAGGAAGGUAGAAUUCCCGGUGUAGCGGUGAAAUGCGUAGAGAUCGGGAGGAAUACCAGUGGCGAAGGCGGCCUUCUGGACUGACACUGACACUGAGGUGCGAAAGCGUGGGUAGCAAACAGGAUUAGAUACCCCGGUAGUC
Molecule: ribosomal RNA, 465 nt
Filed under: Vreelandella stevensii
Lineage: Bacteria; Pseudomonadati; Pseudomonadota; Gammaproteobacteria; Oceanospirillales; Halomonadaceae
Description: partial 16S ribosomal RNA
Rfam family: Bacterial small subunit ribosomal RNA
Source: RNAcentral